GCUUUGUCUGUUUUCAUAAGGUGAAGUCUAGGAUCUUUCCUUUAGCAAAUCUUUGCUGACAAUUUCAUCAAAGGUUUGUUAAGUUAUACCAUGAAUUAACCCUUAAACAAGGUUUGUUAAGUUAUACCAUGAAUUAACCCUUAAACUGUCCAAACGUAGAUCUACAUUUACACUGGUAGUGCUCCGAAUGUAGAUCUAUGUUUUAUUUUUCAUUCCUUCAAAAUUGGCACAAUAGGCCUGAGUCGCUUAGACACGAGAGAAUGGGACCUCCUUCCCUGCAACAGAUUCACUCUGUUACUACAAAUGUUGCACUUCUUGGACAGGAAUACAGUGGACCCCCGCUUAACGAUCACCUCCAAAUGCGACCAAUUAUGUAAGUGUAUUUAUGUAAGUGCGUUUGUACGUGUAUGUUUGGGAGUCUGAAAUGGACUAAUCUACUUCACAAUAUUCCUUAUGGGAAAAAAUUCGGUCAGUACUGGCACCUGAACAUACUACUGGAAUGAAAAAAGUUCCUUAACCGGGGGUCCACUGUACGUCCAACAGAAAUGACCUGCUAUACAAAAUCUGGGAAUUGUUUAUGUAUGUGAAGCAAAAAUUCACUGCCUACUUUUAUCCAUUCAAGAACAUUGUUGGCGAUGAGUCCUUGAUUCUGUUCAAGGGACGGCUGCCAUUCAAACAAUAUAUACCAAGCAAACAUAAUUGCUUUGGUAUAAAACUCUGUUAUGUGAGACUGGUACUGUGUUGGAUGUCAUAAUCUACACAGGGAAGAAUACACUCGAUGAUACCAGGCCCAUGUUGGGCAUUUCUGGUGAUGUUUGCAAGAUGAUGGAGCCAUACCUUGGCAAGGUUCAUACAUUGUUCACAGACAACUGGCAUACAAGCCCUAUGCUUGCUGAUUUCCUCUGUGUGAACAAUAUCAACAUAUGUACGCCUACCAUCCGACUUACGACCGAGUUCGGUUCCAAGAAACCGGUCGUAAGUCGAAAUGGUCGUAAGUCGAACUUUACUACUGAAUAUCAACAAAACAUUUUUGUAAUGACUAUUUUAUUGUUUUAUUUUGGUAUUUCAUGUUUUACUUUACUUUUUAAUGUUGUUAGUACUGUAUUUUAUACUGUAAGGUUGAGGAUAAACACUGUGUACAACACAAAUAGUUGUUUAUUUCCCAGAAAUUUGGCAUAAAAAACACGGUCGUAAGUCAAGUGGUCGUACGUCGAGCAGGUCGUAAGUCGGAUGGUAGGUGUAUGUGGAACAGUGAGAGGAAAUAGAAAACACAUGCCAAGGUUCACUGGCAGUAUUGCUAAUGCUGCAGUGCAAGCGUUUCAUGCCAAUGACUUCAUGGCACUGACGUGGCAUGACAAACAGAUCAUGAUGUUGCUGUCAACUAUCUACAGAAAUGAGAAGAUACAAACAGACAAAGUGAACAGGGAUACCAGUGAACAUGUAUUGUAAAGCCAGCUGCUGUCGUGGACUAGACAAACAAUGUACGACUUGCCGACAAGUGUGACAUGCAAAUAGGGUUUGUUGACUGUGUGCGUAGGGUUUGUGAGUGUUAUACGAAAGUAUUUUCUCCACCUUGUAGAUAUUGCAAUGCUCAGUGCCUUCAACAUGUAUGAAAUGAAGACUGGGAAGCGACAAUGAUAUGCGGAAUUCACCCUCAAUGUCAUCAAGCAGACAGUGAAAAAGUAUGGUACCACACCUGUACCUGCCCCUCCACAGCGACCUUUCACCCCACAACUGUGACCUUUCACCCCCCAACAGUGACCUGUCACCCCACAACCAGAGGGAAAAGUGCCCAACCAAGUAAUCCCUAACUGUCACUGCCUGACACUGAUACCAUCUACCCCAAAGAAGAAGUAUUCGCAGAAGAAUUGUGUUGUGUGUGCUUACACUACAAGGUGACCCCAAGUGUGAAGAGACACGAUUCAUAUGUCAGCAUUGUGGGGUGGCACUCUGUAUGAAUCCAUGCUUCAUGGAGUAUCAUACAGUGGUGGACUUCUAGAAACAUAAAUGGGACCUGUAAAUACCUUGUAUAUGUUUGUAAACAAUAGUAUGUGAUUGAACCAGAUGUACAAAUUCAUCUUAUCAGUGUGAAUAUGUGUGUUUGUGACAGUGUGAUUACUAAUUCAGUACCAAACAUUUGUGUCUUAACAAGAAUUGGCUAUGAAAACAAGAAUUGGCUAUGAAAUCAAAAGAUCUGCAAAAAAACAUUAUUAUCAUAACAUUAAAACAACAAAAAAUAGAAAAGAAUUGGAAAAAACGAUAAAUCUUUAUAAUUCCUGCAAGUGGCAGUGCUCCAUAUUGCCGACACCUCAUCAUUUAGCGCCAAAUUCGUGGGCUUAUAUCUCGAGAUGCUAGUGUUCCUGUGGCCUCAUGGACUUGAAUACUUCAGUCCAGGAAAUGCUGAAGCAAGUUCUUAAGGCUGAUGGUCUUGCUCAUGGACUCCAUGAAGCUGUGAAUGUUUUAGACAGAUGUAGGUGUUCCUAUAGGGGUCAGUGACUCCAUGGAAGUGCUAACACAAGCUCUUAUGACUGAUGAUCUUUCUUGUGGACUCCAGGAAGCUCUGAAGGCUUUACACAAUCACUAGGUUCUUCUGUGCUUGUUAGCAAAUAACUGUGAUGAACUUGGCUACUCAAAACUUGAAGCUCUGCAUCAGAUCAAGCUCCUGAAGGUUGACUCUCACAAGAAGUUAGGAAUGGGUUGAUGAUGCAGGAUUAGCCCUGAAGAGGAAGGACUUGCAAGAUCAUAAGCUGCUUAUGCCUGCCUUACCUGUGUAGGUGUUCCUAUAGGGGUCAGUGACUCCAUGGAAGUGCUAACACAAGCUCUUAUGACUGAUGAUCUUUCAUGUGGACUCCAGGAAGCUCUGAAGGCUUUACACAAUCACUAGGUUCUUCUGUGCUUGUUAGCAAAUAACUGUGAUGAACUUGGCUACUCAAAACUUGAGGUUCUGCAUCAGAUCAAGCUCCUACAAGUUGACUCUCACAAGAAGUUAGGAAUGGGUUGAUGAUGCAGGAUUAGCCCUGAAGAGGAAGGACUUGCAAGAUCAUAAGCUGCUUAUGCCUGCCUUACCUGACUGGUAGAGAGACCCAGGCUUAUGAUAGUCAGUAUUUCGGCAUAAGGGACAG
This is a non-coding RNA of Cherax quadricarinatus, 3122 nucleotides long. The record is from RefSeq and is a predicted model, not a curated record. NCBI's taxonomy places the organism in Eukaryota, Metazoa, Arthropoda, Malacostraca, Decapoda, Parastacidae.